GGGCGGUGUGAGGAUAAGAGGGAGGCGGAAGGGGCGCGAGGAGGAAGAUGAUGUGGUGUUUUUUUUUCAUAGUCAGCGAGCAGAUAAGUUACAAAGUCAGGAUGAUUAUGAAACUAAUUGCUGAUAAGGUUUGACCAGAGAGCGGAACAAGUUACAGUUUGUUUACAAUAAAAAAAUGCUGAAUCUGAUGACAACAAUUUUGAUGAAGAUUCAGAUCCUAAGGAUGGCAAUAAAGAUG
RNAcentral lists this long non-coding RNA (238 nucleotides) under Panicum hallii. RNAcentral describes it as "long non-coding RNA (PHAL_LNC000426)". The record is from RNAcentral. Lineage: Eukaryota; Viridiplantae; Streptophyta; Magnoliopsida; Poales; Poaceae.